Molecule: non-coding RNA, 1125 nt
Organism: Phascolarctos cinereus (koala)
Lineage: Eukaryota; Metazoa; Chordata; Mammalia; Diprotodontia; Phascolarctidae
Source: RefSeq, a predicted model, not a curated record
AGUAACCUCCAGAAGGUCUGAGAGAAGAAUGUCAGAGAACUGACUGCAACAAGGGUGCCCUGGAUACUGCAUGCCAGCCCCCUCCAGGAGAGCGUGGCUAGCUACAAUUCUCUGAAACUCUUCCAGAGACUUCUGUGAGUGAAAAUGGUCUAACCUGAAACAAGAGAAAGUUGGAGGACAGAAAAAUUAAGAUCCUUUCGUUUCAGAGAAUACUAGUACCUUUUCGGGGAAGACCUCUGCUGUAGCUAAAAGUCGAAAGGAGGGUCCUUCAAUCUGAAGAUCUAAAGAGCUUUUGCACCCUGAGUCAAUCCUUAAAGUUCAAAUUGUGCCAAUUUCUUAUCAUUUAGAAAAAUAAAAUUUCCACUGCAUUGGAACCAUUCACAGGUGUGAAAUGGUUUAAAAGGCCCUCGGGAGCAGUAAUGGGACCUCAAAACUUUUCAAAGCCAAGAAGGUCCUGGGACAUCCUCCAACUUUUGUAUUUUAAGUGUCUAAACAUUCGGUAACAGAAAAGCCCUGUAAGUCACUAUUAUUCAACUUCUUAUCAAAUUAGAAGGAACAUUGACUUCACACAGAAAUACGAUGUUCUUGGCAAUCACCCUUUUGUGGUGACCCACAGGGCUUUUUUCUUACCAUUUUGUUCUCCUUUGCGCCUAAAGAAUGUUUUUAGCAUUUGGGUACAUUAGGUCAGGAGGCAAUAAAAAGCUUGUUGGGACUAACUUGUGAGGAAACAAUUUGUGACUUUAACAGAGGGAAAGAGAAAGAAGAUUCUCUGAUAUGAACUGGUUAUGUUUAUUCUGCUUAUGACCGUGUUCAUGUCAUAGGGUAAGCAAUAACUCUUUUCUAACAGAAAAGCAUCAUGGGAUUGUGGAUGAGGCAUGGAUUGGUUUCAAUUCUGGCCUCUCACACAUCCUGACUGCAUGACCCUUCCCCAGAAGUUUGUCUACUGAUGAAAACACAGGUCCAGAUCAAGAGGGAAGUAGUGUGGUCUAAAUAAAGCACAGGAGAAAGAGUAUUGGGUUCAAAUCAUGACUGUCUUCUUUACUGCCUUCAUCACCUUGGCCAAGCUACUUAAUCUCUGUACUUUAGUGUCCUUGUCUGUAAAAUAAUAGUGUUGGACUAGAUGAG